RNAcentral lists this ribosomal RNA (400 nucleotides) under phytoplankton environmental sample. RNAcentral describes it as "partial small subunit ribosomal RNA". It matches the Rfam family "Eukaryotic small subunit ribosomal RNA", at positions 587 to 990 of the family's 1831-position model. The record is from RNAcentral.
AGCUUCAGUAGCGUAUAUUAAAGUUGUUGCAGUUAAAAAGCUCGUAGUCGCAUUUCUGGCGAGAGGAUCCGGUCCGACCUUUUGGUGGGUUCUUGGGUCUCUUUCGCCAUCCUUGAGUGGUCCGUUCUGGCAUUAGGUUGUCGGAGCGUCAGCCGCUCAUCGUUUACUGUGAGAAAAUUAGAGUGUUCAAAGCAGGCUUAUGCCGUUGAAUAUAUUAGCAUGGAAUAAUAAGAUAGGACCUCGGUACUAUUUUGUUGGUUUGCGCACCAAGGUAAUGAUGAACAGGGACAGUUGGGGGUAUUUGUAUUUCGUUGUCAGAGGUGAAAUUCUUAGAUUUACGAAAGACAAACUACUGCGAAAGCAUUUACCAAGGAUGUUUUCAUUGAUCAAGAACGAAAGU